This 377-nucleotide ribosomal RNA is filed under the name uncultured eukaryote. RNAcentral's name for it is "partial 18S ribosomal RNA". It matches the Rfam family "Eukaryotic small subunit ribosomal RNA", at positions 592 to 976 of the family's 1831-position model. The record is from RNAcentral.
CAAUAGCGUAUAUUAAAGUUGUUGCAGUUAAAAAGCUCGUAGUUGGAUUUCGGGGUGGCCUGCCUGGUCCACCGCAAGGUGAGUACUGGUCAGCCGCCCUUCCUCUCGAAAGCCCCGACUGCUCUUCAUUGCAGUGGUCGGGUAGUUCGGGACGUUUACUUUGAAAAAAUUAGAGUGUUCAAGGCAGGCUAUCGCCUGAAUACAUUAGCAUGGAAUAAUGGAAGAGGACCUCGGUCCUAUUUUGUUGGUUUCUAGGGCCGAAGUAAUGAUUAAGAGGGACAGUUGGGGGCAUUCGUAGUUAAUUGUCAGAGGUGAAAUUCUUGGAUUUAUGAAAGACGAACUAGUGCGAAAGCAUUUGCCAAGGAUGUUUUCAUUAA